This 2610-nucleotide ribosomal RNA is filed under the name Escherichia coli. RNAcentral's name for it is "partial 23S ribosomal RNA". It matches the Rfam family "Bacterial large subunit ribosomal RNA", at positions 323 to 2915 of the family's 2925-position model. The record is from RNAcentral. Lineage: Bacteria; Pseudomonadati; Pseudomonadota; Gammaproteobacteria; Enterobacterales; Enterobacteriaceae.
UGUGUGUUAGUGGAAGCGUCUGGAAAGGCGCGCGAUACAGGGUGACAGCCCCGUACACAAAAAUGCACAUGCUGUGAGCUCGAUGAGUAGGGCGGGACACGUGGUAUCCUGUCUGAAUAUGGGGGGACCAUCCUCCAAGGCUAAAUACUCCUGACUGACCGAUAGUGAACCAGUACCGUGAGGGAAAGGCGAAAAGAACCCCGGCGAGGGGAGUGAAAAAGAACCUGAAACCGUGUACGUACAAGCAGUGGGAGCACGCUUAGGCGUGUGACUGCGUACCUUUUGUAUAAUGGGUCAGCGACUUAUAUUCUGUAGCAAGGUUAACCGAAUAGGGGAGCCGAAGGGAAACCGAGUCUUAACUGGGCGUUAAGUUGCAGGGUAUAGACCCGAAACCCGGUGAUCUAGCCAUGGGCAGGUUGAAGGUUGGGUAACACUAACUGGAGGACCGAACCGACUAAUGUUGAAAAAUUAGCGGAUGACUUGUGGCUGGGGGUGAAAGGCCAAUCAAACCGGGAGAUAGCUGGUUCUCCCCGAAAGCUAUUUAGGUAGCGCCUCGUGAAUUCAUCUCCGGGGGUAGAGCACUGUUUCGGCAAGGGGGUCAUCCCGACUUACCAACCCGAUGCAAACUGCGAAUACCGGAGAAUGUUAUCACGGGAGACACACGGCGGGUGCUAACGUCCGUCGUGAAGAGGGAAACAACCCAGACCGCCAGCUAAGGUCCCAAAGUCAUGGUUAAGUGGGAAACGAUGUGGGAAGGCCCAGACAGCCAGGAUGUUGGCUUAGAAGCAGCCAUCAUUUAAAGAAAGCGUAAUAGCUCACUGGUCGAGUCGGCCUGCGCGGAAGAUGUAACGGGGCUAAACCAUGCACCGAAGCUGCGGCAGCGACGCUUAUGCGUUGUUGGGUAGGGGAGCGUUCUGUAAGCCUGUGAAGGUGUGCUGUGAGGCAUGCUGGAGGUAUCAGAAGUGCGAAUGCUGACAUAAGUAACGAUAAAGCGGGUGAAAAGCCCGCUCGCCGGAAGACCAAGGGUUCCUGUCCAACGUUAAUCGGGGCAGGGUGAGUCGACCCCUAAGGCGAGGCCGAAAGGCGUAGUCGAUGGGAAACAGGUUAAUAUUCCUGUACUUGGUGUUACUGCGAAGGGGGGACGGAGAAGGCUAUGUUGGCCGGGCGACGGUUGUCCCGGUUUAAGCGUGUAGGCUGGUUUUCCAGGCAAAUCCGGAAAAUCAAGGCUGAGGCGUGAUGACGAGGCACUACGGUGCUGAAGCAACAAAUGCCCUGCUUCCAGGAAAAGCCUCUAAGCAUCAGGUAACAUCAAAUCGUACCCCAAACCGACACAGGUGGUCAGGUAGAGAAUACCAAGGCGCUUGAGAGAACUCGGGUGAAGGAACUAGGCAAAAUGGUGCCGUAACUUCGGGAGAAGGCACGCUGAUAUGUAGGUGAAGUCCCUCGCGGAUGGAGCUGAAAUCAGUCGAAGAUACCAGCUGGCUGCAACUGUUUAUUAAAAACACAGCACUGUGCAAACACGAAAGUGGACGUAUACGGUGUGACGCCUGCCCGGUGCCGGAAGGUUAAUUGAUGGGGUCAGCGCAAGCGAAGCUCUUGAUCGAAGCCCCGGUAAACGGCGGCCGUAACUAUAACGGUCCUAAGGUAGCGAAAUUCCUUGUCGGGUAAGUUCCGACCUGCACGAAUGGCGUAAUGAUGGCCAGGCUGUCUCCACCCGAGACUCAGUGAAAUUGAACUCGCUGUGAAGAUGCAGUGUACCCGCGGCAAGACGGAAAGACCCCGUGAACCUUUACUAUAGCUUGACACUGAACAUUGAGCCUUGAUGUGUAGGAUAGGUGGGAGGCUUAGAAGUGUGGACGCCAGUCUGCAUGGAGCCGACCUUGAAAUACCACCCUUUAAUGUUUGAUGUUCUAACGUUGACCCGUAAUCCGGGUUGCGGACAGUGUCUGGUGGGUAGUUUGACUGGGGCGGUCUCCUCCUAAAGAGUAACGGAGGAGCACGAAGGUUGGCUAAUCCUGGUCGGACAUCAGGAGGUUAGUGCAAUGGCAUAAGCCAGCUUGACUGCGAGCGUGACGGCGCGAGCAGGUGCGAAAGCAGGUCAUAGUGAUCCGGUGGUUCUGAAUGGAAGGGCCAUCGCUCAACGGAUAAAAGGUACUCCGGGGAUAACAGGCUGAUACCGCCCAAGAGUUCAUAUCGACGGCGGUGUUUGGCACCUCGAUGUCGGCUCAUCACAUCCUGGGGCUGAAGUAGGUCCCAAGGGUAUGGCUGUUCGCCAUUUAAAGUGGUACGCGAGCUGGGUUUAGAACGUCGUGAGACAGUUCGGUCCCUAUCUGCCGUGGGCGCUGGAGAACUGAGGGGGGCUGCUCCUAGUACGAGAGGACCGGAGUGGACGCAUCACUGGUGUUCGGGUUGUCAUGCCAAUGGCACUGCCCGGUAGCUAAAUGCGGAAGAGAUAAGUGCUGAAAGCAUCUAAGCACGAAACUUGCCCCGAGAUGAGUUCUCCCUGACUCCUUGAGAGUCCUGAAGGAACGUUGAAGACGACGACGUUGAUAGGCCGGGUGUGUAAGCGCAGCGAUGCGUUGAGCUAACCGGUACUAAUGAACCGUGAGG